ACUAGGAAUUUUGCGCAAUGGGGGCAACCCUGACGCAGCGACACAGCGUGGAGGAGGAAGGUCUUCGGAUUGUAAACUCCUUUUAUAUGGGAAGAAUAGAUGACUGUACCAUAUGAAUAAGCACCUGCUAACUACGUGCCAGAAGCAUCGGUGAUGCGUAGGGUGCGAACGUUAUCCGGAUUUAUUGGGCGUAAAGAGAUGCGUAGGCGUUUCAGUUAGUCUUUCGUUAAAAGUCACGGCUUAACCGUGAAGAUGCGUUGGAUACUGCUGAAAUUGAGACAUGAAGGGGUGAACGGAACUCCAAGUGGAGCGGUGAAAUGCGUUGAUAUUUGGAAGAACAUCAGAGGCGAAGGCGGUUCACUGGUCAUUGUCUGACGCUAAGGCUCGAAAGCGUGGGUAGCAAAACGGAUUAGAAACCCGAGUAGUCC
Molecule: ribosomal RNA, 428 nt
Filed under: uncultured bacterium
Lineage: Bacteria
Description: partial 16S ribosomal RNA
Rfam family: Bacterial small subunit ribosomal RNA
Source: RNAcentral